GAUGAACGCUGGCGGCGUGCCUAAUACAUGCAAGUCGAGCGAACAGACGAGGAGCUUGCUCCUCUGACGUUAGCGGCGGACGUGUGAGUAACACGUGGAUAACCUACCUAUAAGACUGGGAUAACUUCGGGAAACCGGAGCUAAUACCGGAUAAUAUAUUGAACCGCAUGGUUCAAUAGUGAAAGACGGUUUUGCUGUCACUUAUAGAUGGAUCCGCGCCGUUUUAGCUAGUUGGUAAGGUAACGGCUUACCAAGGCGACGAUGCGUAUCCGACAUGAGAGGGUGAUCGGCCACACUGGAACUGAGACAUGGUCCAGACUCCUACGGGAGGCAGCAGUAGGGAAUCUUGCGCAAUGGGCGAAAGCCUGACGGAGCAACGCCGCGUGAGUGAUGAAGGUCUUCGGAUCGUAAAACUCUGUUAUUAGGGAAGAACAAAUGUGUAAGUAACUAUGCACGUCUUGACGGUACCUAAUCAGAAAGCCACGGCUAACUACGUG
RNAcentral lists this ribosomal RNA (497 nucleotides) under uncultured bacterium. Its description in RNAcentral is "partial 16S ribosomal RNA". It matches the Rfam family "Bacterial small subunit ribosomal RNA", at positions 28 to 507 of the family's 1533-position model. The record is from RNAcentral.